RNAcentral lists this non-coding RNA (87 nucleotides) under Aeromonas salmonicida. Its description in RNAcentral is "c-di-GMP sequence". It matches the Rfam family "c-di-GMP-I riboswitch aptamer". From Rfam's summary of the family: GEMM was predicted in a large-scale screen for bacterial structured RNA regulatory elements. Genes associated with GEMM are involved in a diverse array of functions, including chemotaxis regulation, signal transduction, secretion and chitin. The record is from RNAcentral. Lineage: Bacteria; Pseudomonadati; Pseudomonadota; Gammaproteobacteria; Aeromonadales; Aeromonadaceae. RNAcentral also lists the same sequence under 2 other names.
UAGAGUAAAGGGCAAACCGAUCGAAAGGUCGGGACGCAAAGCCACCGGUCUAAGGGUGUAGAUACCUAAGACAGCGGAGCUGCCAAC